RNAcentral lists this long non-coding RNA (249 nucleotides) under Vitis vinifera (wine grape). RNAcentral describes it as "long non-coding RNA (VVIN_LNC003579)". The record is from RNAcentral. Lineage: Eukaryota; Viridiplantae; Streptophyta; Magnoliopsida; Vitales; Vitaceae.
UUAGAUAAUAAUAAAAUAAAGAAAUCAUAGCAUGCUUGUUAUCUAAUUAGCAUAACAAAAAUAAUCAAAGUAUACGAAAUCAUCAAUUAUCGCACACAUCUUGUGUAUAAUUCCUAAAAAAAAAUAUAGAUAUGAUUUCGAUAAAUGGCAAGGGUGGCAGCAAAGAUGGGUUUUGAAAAGAUAAUUUUAUGUAGGGGUUUCACCAAUUCCCCAAUUGAUAUACACAAAUCUAGCCUGGAAUUAUCCCAU